UAUUUGGAAAAUCUUCCAAAUAGAAAUUCUGUGAAUACUCCAAACCACAUAUAUUGGUUACUUCCUGAAAUAUCAUUUUACCACAACAUCAUCCUAUUCUUCAUUCUUAUUCUCCCGUCCGGUCACGCCGGU
Non-coding RNA from Caenorhabditis elegans, 132 nucleotides. NCBI's taxonomy places the organism in Eukaryota, Metazoa, Nematoda, Chromadorea, Rhabditida, Rhabditidae. The record is from Ensembl.